AUAUAUAUAUAGAUAUCUCAAGGCAUGUAUGUAUGUAUAUAUAUAUAUACACAAACACUAUGUGUGUCUGUAUGUAAAGACCUAUCGAAUAAACUGCACUUUGCUUGGAAAGUAAAGGUUGUUGACAGGAAAAGCAUCCAACUGUAAACUCGUUUUGUCUUAGCCAUGCCAACAUGAGGCAAAUGGAUAUAAAAGUAAUAUAAACAUGGACACACACACACAUUCAGAGACAUGCUGCUACCUUCAAUUCAGGGGAAUUUUCAAACAUUUCUGGUGUAUUUGUGUGUGUAUAAUAAGAAGGAAGACUUUGGUUGAUCAACUUCAAACUACCAGACUCAACACUUGCCAAUACUGAGUUGUUUGUUUAUAUAUAUAUUUUUAUAACAUUCGAGUUAAAUCCUUUCUGUAAUAAGUACCGGUUAUAUUUUAGGGUUGUUUAGAUUGAUGUCUCCUCUAAACAAUUUGUGGUUUUUGUCCUGCUAUAUGAAUGUGAUCCAUUAGAUUGUCAUGUGGUGACAGAUUUAUCGUCAAAGUUGAUCCUAGCAGGUUCUUCCAAUUCAGAAUGCAUAUGUUUGAAUUGGCGUCGCGCCAGGCUUGACUUUAUUUUGUCCUGUUCCA
This is a long non-coding RNA of Octopus sinensis (East Asian common octopus), 618 nucleotides long. RefSeq lists it as uncharacterized. The transcript is spliced from 2 exons. Lineage: Eukaryota; Metazoa; Mollusca; Cephalopoda; Octopoda; Octopodidae. The record is from RefSeq and is a predicted model, not a curated record.